GGUAUGGGAUGAGCUUGCGUCCGAUUAGCUAGUUGGCGGGGCAACGGCCCACCAAGGUGACGAUCGGUAGCCGGCCUGAGAGGGUGAUCGGCCACAUUGGGAAUGAGAUACGGCCCAGACUCCUACGGGAGGCAGCAGUAGGGAAUAUUGCACAAUGGGGGAAACCCUGAUGCAGCAACGCCACGUGUGGGAAGAAGCAUUUCGGUGUGUAAACCACUGUCGUGAGGGAAUAAGGCAUUUUUUCGGAGAUGUUGAAUGUACCUCGAGAGGAAGCACCGGCAAACUUCGUGCCAGCAGCCGCGGUAAUACGAGGGGUGCAAGCGUUGUUCGGAAUCACUGGGCGUAAAGGGAGCGCAGGCGGAAGCUCAAGCGGAUUGUACAAUACCGGGGCCCAGCCCCGGACCUGCAGUCCGAACUGGCUUUCUUGGAUAGUUCAGGGGCAGGC
RNAcentral lists this ribosomal RNA (445 nucleotides) under uncultured bacterium. RNAcentral's name for it is "bacterial SSU rRNA". It matches the Rfam family "Bacterial small subunit ribosomal RNA", at positions 217 to 662 of the family's 1533-position model. The record is from RNAcentral.